Capsicum annuum is the source of this 875-nucleotide long non-coding RNA. RefSeq lists it as uncharacterized. The record is from RefSeq and is a predicted model, not a curated record. The transcript has 3 exons. NCBI's taxonomy places the organism in Eukaryota, Viridiplantae, Streptophyta, Magnoliopsida, Solanales, Solanaceae.
AUAUUUUUGUUGUUGGUAAAAUACUUAAAUUUCUCCACACCUUUGUUGAUUUGUGGCGAAAAAACUGUACCUUUAUCUCAAAUUUUAGGAAAAGCAGAAGCGGGAUUCCCUUUUUGCUGAAUUUUCCCUCUUUACUUUGAGUUAUUUUAGUUUUUUCUCUCUUCGUCAAUUGGAGCUUUGAACGAGUUGGCCUUCCCUCAUGCGAUUAGGGCUCCAAUUUGUAAGUUACGUUUGUUCGUCAAGACUAGACUUUCUGCCGCCAUUUCAACAUUGUUGUUACUUCAAGUAAUUCAGAUGAUGCAAGUCCUGCAAGUGUUAUGGAUAAUAUUGUGGAUGAAAAUGUGUAACCAAGGCAAUAUGGUUGGUAAAGCACAGGCUAUUGGAAGAAACUUCAUAUUUUAGAUUAAAAGUUAGUGAUCCUAGGUAUAAUGUUUUAAGUUACUUUCUAUUAUGAGUAAACAUAUAUUUUUUUUAGGAGUAUUUAUCUUUUUGAGAUGAUUUAUUUAAUUUAUUUAUUUUAUUUAUUGUCCUUGGUACAAUAUAUAUAAAUUUAUUAUUUAUAUAUACAUUUCAAAAAUUCUAGAAGAAGUGUGACAUAUAUAUAUGGCAACUAAUCUUAAGUAGUUGCUAAAAUUGUACUGCACAAAGUAUUAAUUGGCAAGAGUAAUUUAUAGUCACAAUUGUUCUCAACAAAUUUUCGUUCACGAAAAAUAAAUUUUAACCACAAACAAAAAUAUGAAGAAACAAGAAUUUUUUAUUGAUUGUGGUUACAAAUUUGUUCCUCCCUUGAUUCUUCUCUCUUGAUUUUUUCGGUAAUUCGAGGGCCGUUAGUGGCUUAUUCUCGAACAUAGAAUUUGAUAUGAAUUUCUCAGUAA